RNAcentral lists this long non-coding RNA (447 nucleotides) under Vigna radiata. RNAcentral's name for it is "long non-coding RNA (VRAD_LNC001231)". Lineage: Eukaryota; Viridiplantae; Streptophyta; Magnoliopsida; Fabales; Fabaceae. The record is from RNAcentral.
GGCCAAUCCAAUUUUUUCUUUCUUUCUCUGGUUUUCAAUUCUUUCAGGUCUCAUUUUUCUUUCAAUUCUUUUGCAUUAUCUUUUUUUCCAGACCUGCUCUUUUCUCUUUUCUCUUUUCUUUUUUCUCAACACAACCAGAUUGCUCUUCUUAUUUUUCUUUUCUUUUUCUUGGCCUUUCUUUUUCUCUUUUGCACUCACUAAGUUCCUAGAUCCUUCAUCCCUCUCACAGCUUCUACACGUUGGGUAAUGAUGGGGAAUAAGGCUUGUACUGAAUGGAAACAAAGAAAAUGGCUAAGGCUCAAAGUUAAGGUACAAUGGUCAGAACUGAAAUGGUAAAACUAAAUGGUUAUGGAUGGUAAGAAAGGAUGCCUAAAUCAUGUCUAGAGUCCACUAAGAGCAAGCUUUUCACAAAGAAUCAAUGCAAAAUCAGAAUGAAAAUUAAACAUG